CUACGUGCCAGCAGCCGCGGUAAUACGUAGGUCCCGAGCGUUGUCCGGAUUUAUUGGGCGUAAAGCGAGCGCAGGCGGUUAGAUAAGUCUGAAGUUAAAGGCUGUGGCUUAACCAUAGUACGCUUUGGAAACUGUUUAACUUGAGUGCAAGAGGGGAGAGUGGAAUUCCAUGUGUAGCGGUGAAAUGCGUAGAUAUAUGGAGGAACACCGGUGGCGAAAGCGGCUCUCUGGCUUGUAACUGACGCUGAGGCUCGAAAGCGUGGGGAGCAAACAGGAUUAGGUACCCUGGUAGUCCACGCCGUAAACGAUGAGUGCUAGGUGUUAGACCCUUUCCGGGGUUUAGUGCCGCAGCUAACGCAUUAAGCACUCCGCCUGGGGAGUACGACCGCAAGGUUGAAACUCAAAGGAAUUGACGGGGGCCCGCACAAGCGGUGGAGCAUGUGGUUUAAUUCGAUGCAACGCGAAGAACCUUACCUACUCUUGACAUCCAUGGAAUCUUGUAGAGAUACGAGAGUGC
Molecule: ribosomal RNA, 517 nt
Filed under: uncultured bacterium
Lineage: Bacteria
Description: bacterial SSU rRNA
Rfam family: Bacterial small subunit ribosomal RNA
Source: RNAcentral